Molecule: RNA transcript, 3563 nt
Organism: Rhineura floridana
Lineage: Eukaryota; Metazoa; Chordata; Lepidosauria; Squamata; Rhineuridae
Gene: OVCH2
Gene name: ovochymase 2
Exons: 22
Source: RefSeq, a predicted model, not a curated record
GGGCAAGGCAGGUGGAAAUGCUUGCCCCUUGAUGGUCCCAGCGCAGUCUCAUCCCUGCAGCAGCUUCCUUGUCCUUUCCUGAAACAUAAACACAAGUACAGGGUCUAAAUGUGGGCAGAAAGUUUAUGAAACAACUCCAUGGCAUUCCUAUAGCUCUCGGAUUGUUGGUGGGAACCAGGUGCAACAAGGUUCACACCCAUGGCAGUCAGCUUGCUCCCUCCAUCUGGCUAAAAGAAGGACUGAGGAUGAGUCAUCUCCAUCUCCUAGACUUCUUGGACAAUUUACCUGUAGCUUCCCUUUAAAAAAAAAAAAAAAGAUGUGCCUAGCAACUUUGCCAUUGACUAUUAUGAGAAUCACCAGUAAUGCUUCUGGUUCCAAUAACCCUUUCCUAUCUAAACUCUCAAUCUUAAAGAAUAUCAUCAUGACAAUUUAAUAUUUAUUCUAACUCUAUUUUCUUUAUUUUUUCUGCAAUGGGGAAUGACUGAAAUAUGGUGAGCGUCAAGAUUAACAUGUAAAUGUUGACAUUCACCAUAACAUAGAAGGAGAGGGAGGGAGGCAUGAAUGCUAAGGAGGCACAAUGAUAUCAAUGCUACAUAAAAACAAAACACAUUAUUUCUUUGCAUGUGAAUGUUAACAUUACCAGACAGAUGCUGAAAGAAUCUAAAAAUUCAGAGCUCUAUAGAUGAAUGUGAUUAUCAGCAGUCACUUCAACUUGUGUAUCCAAAAACUAGGGAUACACACACUUUGGACAUUUACUGCAACCUGUCUAUCCUGCUCUCUGCCUUGGUUUUGCAGAUGUGAGAAGAAAAUAUAUGCAUUUCCUAAUGUGAUAUGUCCUUUUUAUGGCACAGGUUUCCUUGAAACGUAACAAUUAUCAUUUCUGUGGAGGAACCCUCGUUUCCACUCAGUGGAUAAUCACAGCAGCUCACUGUGUUGUAAGCAGAUACCUGCUUAAUUCGCUGACUGUCACUGCUGGAGAACAUGAUUUGCGUGUGCAAGAGAAGGAAGAGCAAACACUACAUGUAAAAUACAUUAUCAAACACCCAAAUUUUAAUAUGAAGAAACCAAUGGAUUAUGACAUUGCCCUUCUGAAAGUGGAUGGUCACUUUAAAUAUGGUUCAGCAAUUUGGCCAGUAUGCCUUCCUGAACCACAUGAAAAGUUUGAUCCAGGAUUUAUAUGUGUCACUUGUGGUUGGGGUCGUCUAAGAGAAAAUGGAAUCCUCCCUGAAGUCCUCCAUGAAGUGGAGUUGCCCAUCCUAGACCAGAAUGAAUGUUCUAGAGUGUUGUCAACUUUAAGGAAACCCAUUCGAGGUGACACUGUAAUGUGUGCUGGGUUUCCAGAUGGAGGAAAGGAUGCUUGCCAGGGUGACUCCGGGGGCUCUCUUGUGUGCAGGCGCGAGCAUGGUUCUUGGACCCUGAUUGGGGUUACUUCGUGGGGCUUAGGGUGUGCUCGUAGCUGGAUGCAUAACCUUAAAAAAAAGUAUCAUAGAAGAGGAACACCAGGAGUUUUCACAGAUCUUACUAAGGUGCUCCCUUGGAUUCAGCAACAUAUCAACACCGAUGUGAAAAUGAAGAGUUCUACAGCAUCCUGCAGCAUGCAAGAUGGUAAACUCCCUGACAAUGAAGGACAGCUUCUUUUCCCUGAGCAUCCCAAGCAUUUUUAUCAGGACAACCAGUUGUGCGUUUGGACUCUGCUUGUUCCAGAAGGAAUGCAUAUACUACUGAAUUUUACCCACUUUGAUGUGGAGUCGGAUACAUACUGUGAUUAUGAUUCCUUGUCGGUGAUUUCUAAGGACGUGAAGCUCAUUGGAAAAUUCUGUGGAAAGGACCCUCCAUUACCCAUUUUGGUUGGCUCCAAUAGUCUAAGGCUAAAAUUUGUGUCUGAUAACAAAGAACAGGGAUCUGGAUUUUCUAUAAUAUAUAAAGCUAUUGAGCCAGCUACCCUCCAAGAUUCUGGCUGUGGAUCUGUUGCCAUACUCUUUGAGGAAGGAACAGUGCAAAGCAUGCAUUAUCCUGAGGCAUACAGUAAUCUGGCAGAUUGUCAAUGGAUUAUUCAUGCUCCAGAAAACUAUGUGGUCAAGCUCAUAUAUGAAAAUUUUGAACUGGAAGAAAAUGAAGACUGUGCUUACGACUCAGUGACAGUGUAUGAAAAUAUUGCAAGGGAGAAGGAAAUAGCUCGAUCUUGUGGAUUUGCUGUCCCAGCACCAGUUUUGAGUUCGUCUAGUACCAUGCUGAUCAUGUUUCAUGCAGAUGAAACAGAGACUUUUGGUGGGUUCAAAGCCAAGUUUUUGUUCAUCUCUGUUGCAGAUCUAAACAUAUCCAAUUCGAGCAGUGAAGUAAUGCUUCCAGAAGAAAUAAAUGAUGCUACAAAUGAAACUGACAUUCCUGGUGACAUUUGUGGAGUAGCAUCCAACCAGCCUCGGUUUCUUUUUAGUCGGAUAGUUGGAGGUGAAGAAGCUGUACCGUAUUCUUGGCCUUGGCAGGCAAGCAUACAAAUUUUGGGAGAAAGCAUCUGUGGAGGAACAGUUCUUACAAGCACAUGGGUAGUCACUGCUGCUCACUGUUUCAAAGGAAAGGAAAAAUACAAGGAUGUUUGGAGAGUGGUUGUUGGACUCCAUGACAUCAAAGACGAAGAACAGCAUAGUCAGAAAAGAUUGGUGAAACAGUACAUUAUACAUCCAGAUUUUAACACCACGACUACAGAUUCAGACAUUGCACUGGUGCAACUGACUGAACCUUUAGAAUUCAAUCAUUAUGUUCGUCCUGUGUGUCUGCCUGAGAAAGAUGAAAAGGUUGAGGCUGCAAGAGUGUGUGUCAUUACAGGAUGGGGCAUUCAGUAUGAAGAUGGAGAAAAUUCAAGAAAACUCCAUCAGCUUGAAGUUCCUAUUUUGGUUUCUGAAGAAUGUCAGAAAUACUAUACAAACCAUCCUGGUGGUCUAAACAAGCAGAUGUUCUGUGCUGGAUUUCCAACUGAAGAAGGAAAGGAUGCAUGUACAGGCGAUUCAGGAGGGCCACUGGUUUGUCCUUCGGAAGAGUCAAGCUUCUACACCCUUAAUGGAAUAAUAAGCUGGGGCCUUGGCUGUGGAAGAAACGGCUAUCCAGGAGUUUAUACAAAUGUUGCAUCUUUUGUUGAUUGGAUUGGUCAGCACAUACAUUGAACCACUGUGGCUACUCCUGUACCAGUAGUGAACCUAGCCUGGAGUCCCAAGACUUUCGUUGUUGUGCUCAGACUCGUCAAACAAGGCAUGAAGAUCUUCAAUGAAUUUGAACCUUGAACUUUUAAGACAACAGUUAAAUUAUGUGACUGAAGGAAUCAUUCCAAAGUGCAUUCGCUGGUUCAUGUGUAGUGACUCUGUAUCUAGAAUUCAUUGUCUGCAUGUUCAUAAUUCCAAGAAGAAAAGAUGUAAGCCUUCACAUGGGCAAACAACAUCAGUAUGGCUUUGGACAUUGAGCUUUUCCAUGGAGAAAUCUAAAACUGCAAUCCUUUGCACCCUUUCCUAUGAGUAAGUCCCACUGAACACAAUGACUUGCUUCUGAAUAAACAUGCAUAAGUUCAGAAAGCA